GUCACCAAUGAGGAUUCAUUGUUAAAUGCCAGCAGGAAAUAGAGGCACCAUAUUUAGAGUGUGUGUUUCAUUUUAGAAAAAUGUAUUUCAACAUUAGAGAUGCUAAAGAUUCAAAAAUAAAUCUUCCCAUUUACAAUAAUCUGCAUUGGUUAUUGUCUGUUUCAAGUGAAUUAACUCAUGGAGGUUUAGGUUUUUAAUAGUCCAAUUUAG
This 210-nucleotide long non-coding RNA is filed under the name Bos taurus (domestic cattle). Its description in RNAcentral is "long non-coding RNA NONBTAT020503". The record is from RNAcentral. Lineage: Eukaryota; Metazoa; Chordata; Mammalia; Artiodactyla; Bovidae.